RNAcentral lists this ribosomal RNA (447 nucleotides) under uncultured bacterium. Its description in RNAcentral is "partial 16S ribosomal RNA". It matches the Rfam family "Bacterial small subunit ribosomal RNA", at positions 29 to 523 of the family's 1533-position model. The record is from RNAcentral.
AACGAACGCUGGUGGCAGGCUUAACACAUGCAAGUCGAACGCCCCGCAAGGGGAGUGGCAGACGGGUGAGUAACGCGUGGGAAUCUACCGUGCCCUGCGGAAUAGCUCCGGGAAACUGGAAUUAAUACCGCAUACGCCCUACGGGGGAAAGAUUUAUCGGGGUAUGAUGAGCCCGCGUUGAAUUAGCUAGUUGGUGGGGUAAAGGCCUACCAAGGCGACGAUCCAUAGCUGGUCUGAGAGGAUGAUCAGCCACAUUGGGACUGAGACACGGCCCAAACUCCUACGGGAGGCAGCAGUGGGGAAUAUUGGACAAUGGGCGCAAGCUUGUUCCAGCCAUGCCGCGUGAGUGAUGAAGGCCUUAGGGUUGUAAAGCUCUUUCACCGUUGAAGAUAAUGACGGUAGUCGGAGAAGAAGCCCCGGCUAACUUCGUGCCAGCCGCCGCCGUAA